Molecule: ribosomal RNA, 248 nt
Filed under: uncultured bacterium
Lineage: Bacteria
Description: partial 16S ribosomal RNA
Rfam family: Bacterial small subunit ribosomal RNA
Source: RNAcentral
CAUGCCCUAAACGAUGUAUGCUUGGUGUUGGGAUUAAUUUCUCAGUGCCGAAGGUAACCCGUUAAGCAUACCACCUGGGGAGUACGAUCGCAAGGUUGAAACUCAAAGGAAUUGACGGGGGCCCGCACAAGCGGUGGAUCAUGUGGUUUAAUUCGAUGCAACGCGAAGAACCUUACCCGGGCUUGAACUGUAGAAAGUACGGAGAUGAAAGUCGAAGGACCCGUUGAAUCGGGAAUCUAUAGAGGUGC